CCCCUCCCAGGCUCGCACCUGGAGAAUUUCCAUUACUCUACCAGUCUCAGCUAUGGGAGGGAGAGUCAAGCAGAAGCCAAUCUAUUCCAUUCCUAGCUUGGGGAGUGGCUAGCGAAUGGAAGGCAAUCUGCUACAGGU
Ornithorhynchus anatinus (platypus) is the source of this 138-nucleotide small nucleolar RNA. The record is from RefSeq and is a predicted model, not a curated record. Lineage: Eukaryota; Metazoa; Chordata; Mammalia; Monotremata; Ornithorhynchidae.